Molecule: non-coding RNA, 94 nt
Organism: Mycena metata
Lineage: Eukaryota; Fungi; Basidiomycota; Agaricomycetes; Agaricales; Mycenaceae
Source: the annotation of a GenBank genome assembly
GGUCGAAUGGUGCAGUUGGUAGCACACGCAGAUUCGUUGAACCGUUUCAUCGACUACUCACUGUGUGACCCUUGUUCAAAUCAAGGUUCGGCCC